Molecule: ribosomal RNA, 253 nt
Filed under: uncultured bacterium
Lineage: Bacteria
Description: partial 16S ribosomal RNA
Rfam family: Bacterial small subunit ribosomal RNA
Source: RNAcentral
UACGUAGGGUGCGAGCGUUAAUCGGAAUUACUGGGCGUAAAGCGUGCGUAGGUGGUUCACUAAGUCAGGUGUGAAAUCCCCGGGCUCAACCUGGGAACUGCGCUUGAUACUGGUAAACUAGAGUUUAGUAGAGGGAAGUGGAAUUCCACGUGUAGCGGUGAAAUGCGCAGAUAUCAGGAGGAACACCAAUGGCGAAGGCAGGUCUCUGGGCCAUUACUGACACUGAGGAGCGAAAGCGUGGGGAGCGAACAGG